Molecule: signal recognition particle RNA, 99 nt
Filed under: Burkholderiaceae bacterium
Lineage: Bacteria; Pseudomonadati; Pseudomonadota; Betaproteobacteria; Burkholderiales; Burkholderiaceae
Description: signal recognition particle sRNA small type
Rfam family: Bacterial small signal recognition particle RNA
About the family: The signal recognition particle (SRP) is a universally conserved ribonucleoprotein involved in the co-translational targeting of proteins to membranes. Archaeal SRP consists of a 7S RNA and homologues of the eukaryotic SRP19 and SRP54 proteins.
Source: RNAcentral
GGCGGGCCCCCUCGCAUCGAGGCGCCGUAAACCUGGUCAGGUCGGGAACGAAGCAGCCAUAGCGGAAUUCCCCGAGUGCCGAGGAUCAGGCUCGCCUUU